ACGGGGAGCAGCAGGCGCGAAACCUUUACACUGCACGCCAGUGCGAUAAGGGGACCCCGAGUGCGAGGGCAUACAGUCCUCGCUUUUCGUGACCGUAAGGAGGUCACAGAAUAAGUGCUGGGCAAGACCGGUGCCAGCCGCCGCGGUAAUACCGGCAGCUCGAGUGAUAGCCACUCUUAUUGGGCCUAAAGCGUCCGUAGCCGGCCGAACGGGUCCGUCGGGAAAUCCACUCGCCCAACGAGUGGACGUCCGGCGGAAACCAGUCGGCUUGGGGCCGGGAGACCAGAGAGGUACGUCCGGGGUAGGAGUGAAAUCCUGUAAUCCUGGACGGACCGCCGGUAGCGAAAGCGUCUCUGGAGAACGGACCCGACGGUGAGGGACGAAAGCUUGGGUCUCGAACCGGAUUAGAUACCCGGGUAGUCCAAGCUGUAAACGAUGCUCGCUAGGUGUGGCGUUGGCUACGAGCCAGCGCUGUGCCGUAGGGAAGCCGAGAAGCGAGCCGCCUGGGAAGUACGUCCGCAAGGAUGAAACUUAAAGGAAUUGGCGGGGGAGCAC
RNAcentral lists this ribosomal RNA (555 nucleotides) under uncultured Halococcus sp. Its description in RNAcentral is "bacterial SSU rRNA". It matches the Rfam family "Archaeal small subunit ribosomal RNA", at positions 325 to 879 of the family's 1478-position model. The record is from RNAcentral. Lineage: Archaea; Methanobacteriati; Methanobacteriota; Halobacteria; Halobacteriales; Halococcaceae.